CAGUGAGCCGAGACCGCGCCUGGGCGACAGAGCGAGACUCCUUCUCAAAAAAAAAAAAAAACAAAAACAAACAAAAAAAAAGAUUUAAACCGACAAGGCAGAUUAAUAGGAUAAAAGUAUACAAGUUUUAUUAAAUUUUUAGAUGCACAUGGAGCCCUUCACAAGAGUCCCAAGACCCAAAGAAGUUGAACAGAGUAGAAAGCUUUUAUACCUUCUAGUCAAAGCAAUGCUAAGUUUUUGAAGUGAUGACCAGACAAAGGGGUUUGGGUUAGGGGCAGUAAAUUGUGGGGAAGUGACCAGGAAAUAUACGGGGAGGGAGAUAAAACUACUGGAUGAUAAGGGUUGCUUUAGUAAGUUUAUACAGAUCCAUUUCGGUGCUGAUUCCCAGUCUCUGGUGUUAAGGAUGUUUUUCUCUUCCUUGUACAGGGAGGGCGCCUUUCUUAUGGGGAAUUUUAUGGCCUGUUCUUAUAUAGAAAAGGGUAGAUCAGAGAGCUCUUCCUGCCUCUGCUGUUUUUCAAGUGCCUUCAGCUCAGAAUAAACAACAUGCCGAAGCAGCAUAUGUUUUUGGGGUGACAUGUCCUUAACUUCUUCACUAAAUAAUCCUAAACUUGAGAGUAUGCCUUCUCCCCACUCAGCCAUUCCAACCUAAGAAUAGGAUACAACCUCCAGCUGGGCAAAACAAAACUGGUACAAGAUAUUUAACAAAAUUUCAGGAAAGCAGAGCCCAAAUAGUCUAACCAAGGCUGCAUAUUGGCUGGGCAUGGUGGCUCAUGACUGUAAUCCCAACAGUUUGGGAGGCUGAGGUGGGAGGAUUGCUUUGAGUCCAGGAAUUCAAGACCGGCCU
This 844-nucleotide long non-coding RNA is filed under the name Homo sapiens (human). Its description in RNAcentral is "HSALNT0211068". Lineage: Eukaryota; Metazoa; Chordata; Mammalia; Primates; Hominidae. The record is from RNAcentral.